GAUGAACGCUAGCGGGAGGCUUAACACAUGCAAGUCGAGGGGCAGCAUAGGGUAGCAAUACUCUGAUGGGCGACCGGCAAACGGGUGAGUAACGCGUAUGCAACCUACCCUGUACAGGGGGAUAACCCGGAGAAAUUCGGACUAAUAUCCCGUAAUAAUAUCCGGAGGCAUCUUUGGAUAUUUAAAGUUUCGACGGUACGGGAUGGGCAUGCGUAACAUUAGCUGGUUGGUAAGGUAACGGCUUACCAAGGCUAUGAUGUUUAGGGGUCCUGAGAGGGUGGUCCCCCACACUGGUACUGAGACACGGACCAGACUCCUACGGGAGGCAGCAGUGAGGAAUAUUGGUCAAUGGGCGCAAGCCUGAACCAGCCAUCCCGCGUGCAGGAAGACGGCCCUAUGGGUUGUAAACUGCUUUUCCAGGGAGAGAAACUUACGCACGUGUUGCGUGACUGACGGUACCCUGGGAAUAAGCAUCGGCUAACUCCGUG
This 488-nucleotide ribosomal RNA is filed under the name uncultured bacterium. Its description in RNAcentral is "bacterial SSU rRNA". It matches the Rfam family "Bacterial small subunit ribosomal RNA", at positions 28 to 507 of the family's 1533-position model. The record is from RNAcentral.